AGGAUGAACGCUGGCGGCGUGCUUAACACAUGCAAGUCGAACGGUGAAAGAGGAGCUUGCUCCUCUGGAUCAGUGGCGAACGGGUGAGUAACACGUGAGUAACCUGCCCUUGACUCUGGGAUAAGCGUUGGAAACGACGUCUAAUACCGGAUACGACCUCCGAAGGCAUCUUCUGGAGGUGGAAAGAAUUUCGGUCAAGGAUGGACUCGCGGCCUAUCAGCUAGUUGGUGAGGUAAUGGCCCACCAAGGCGACGACGGGUAGCCGGCCUGAGAGGGUGACCGGCCACACUGGGACUGAGACACGGCCCAGACUCCUACGGGAGGCAGCAGUGGGGAAUAUUGCACAAUGGGCGCAAGCCUGAUGCAGCAACGCCGCGUGAGGGACGACGGCCUCGGUUGUAACCUCUUUAGUAGGGAGAAGCGAAGUGACGGUACCUGCAGAAAAGCACCGGCUAACUACGUGCCAGCAGCCGC
RNAcentral lists this ribosomal RNA (474 nucleotides) under uncultured bacterium. RNAcentral's name for it is "SSU rRNA". It matches the Rfam family "Bacterial small subunit ribosomal RNA", at positions 26 to 518 of the family's 1533-position model. The record is from RNAcentral.